Molecule: ribozyme, 72 nt
Filed under: Faecalibacterium prausnitzii
Lineage: Bacteria; Bacillati; Bacillota; Clostridia; Eubacteriales; Oscillospiraceae
Description: HDV ribozyme from F. prausnitzii
Rfam family: HDV ribozyme from F. prausnitzii
Source: RNAcentral
GCUGCUCGAAGCUUUGCACACCUCUCCGUGGUGAGCAGUAGGCAACACAUGAGAAUGUGGCUAAGAAUGCAG